Molecule: small nuclear RNA, 164 nt
Filed under: Salmo salar (Atlantic salmon)
Lineage: Eukaryota; Metazoa; Chordata; Actinopteri; Salmoniformes; Salmonidae
Description: U1 spliceosomal RNA
Rfam family: U1 spliceosomal RNA
About the family: U1 is a small nuclear RNA (snRNA) component of the spliceosome (involved in pre-mRNA splicing).
Source: Rfam by way of RNAcentral
AUACUUACCUGGCAAGGGAGAUACCGUGAUCAAGAAGGCGGUUCACCCAGGGCGAGGCUCAGCCAUUGCACUCCGGCUGUGCUGACCCCUGCAAAUUUCCCAAAUGUGGAAAUCUCGAUUGCAUAAUUUAUGGUAGUGGGGGACUGCGUUCGCGCUCUCCCCUG